RNAcentral lists this ribosomal RNA (460 nucleotides) under uncultured bacterium. Its description in RNAcentral is "partial 16S ribosomal RNA". It matches the Rfam family "Bacterial small subunit ribosomal RNA", at positions 338 to 795 of the family's 1533-position model. The record is from RNAcentral.
CCUACGGGUGGCAGCAGUGAGGAAUAUUGGUCAAUGGGCGCGAGCCUGAACCAGCCAAGUCGCGUGAGGGAUGACGGCCCUAUGGGUUGUAAACUUCUUUUGUAGGGGAGUAAAAUGCGCCACGUGUGGCGUUUUGUGAGUACCCGAUGAAUAAGGAUCGGCUAACUCCGUGCCAGCAGCCGCGGUAAUACGGAGGAUACGAGCGUUAUCCGGAUUUAUUGGGUUUAAAGGGUGCGGAGGCGGGAUGUUAAGUCAGCCGGUAAAUUUGGGGGCUCAACCGUAUUAGUGCGGUUGAAACUGGCUGUCUUGAGUGAGUGAGAGGUAGGCGGAAUGCGUGGUGUAGCGGUGAAAUGCAUAGAUAUCACGCAGAACUCCGAUUGCGAAGGCAGCAUACCGGCGCGCAACUGACGCUGAUGCACGAAAGUGUGGGUAUCGAACAGGAUUAGAUACCCGAGUAGUC